GGCUUUGUAGUGUAGUGGUUAUCACUCGGGAUUUUGAUUUGGUAGAGUUUCCCGAAACCCAGGUUCGAACCCUGGCAAGGCCU
Non-coding RNA from Pisolithus marmoratus, 83 nucleotides. The record is from the annotation of a GenBank genome assembly. Lineage: Eukaryota; Fungi; Basidiomycota; Agaricomycetes; Boletales; Pisolithaceae.